This 494-nucleotide ribosomal RNA is filed under the name uncultured bacterium. RNAcentral's name for it is "partial 16S ribosomal RNA". It matches the Rfam family "Bacterial small subunit ribosomal RNA", at positions 28 to 507 of the family's 1533-position model. The record is from RNAcentral.
GACGAACGCUGGCGGCGUGCUUAACACAUGCAAGUCGAACGGUGAAGCGCCUUCCUUUUUGGUGGGUGUGGAUGAGUGGCGAACGGGUGAGUAACACGUGAGUAACCUGCCCCCUUUUUCUGGAUAACCGCAUGAAAGUGUGGCUAAUACGGGAUAUUCUGGGUCUGUCGCAUGAUGGGUCUGGGAAAGAUAUUGUUUCGGUGGGGGAUGGGCUCGCGGCCUAUCAGCUUGUUGGUGGGGUGAUGGCCUACCAAGGCGGUGACGGGUAGCCGGCCUGAGAGGGUGGACGGUCACACUGGGACUGAGACACGGCCCAGACUCCUACGGGAGGCAGCAGUGGGGAAUAUUGCACAAUGGGCGCAAGCCUGAUGCAGCGACGCCGCGUGAGGGAUGGAGGCCUUCGGGUUGUGAACCUCUUUCGCCAGUGAAGCAGGCCUGCCUCGUUUGUGGGUGGGUUGACGGUAGCUGGAGAAGAAGCGCCGGCUAACUACGUG